Phacochoerus africanus (Common warthog) is the source of this 247-nucleotide long non-coding RNA. RefSeq lists it as uncharacterized. The transcript has 4 exons. NCBI's taxonomy places the organism in Eukaryota, Metazoa, Chordata, Mammalia, Artiodactyla, Suidae. The record is from RefSeq and is a predicted model, not a curated record.
GCGUUGUUCGGCUAGUGGGAAAGUGAGCAGGGCUGUUCCCAGACCUGACUGGCUGGCGUGGGAAGCACCGCAGGGUUAAGCUCGCCUCUGGAUGUGGGCCGUCCGCACUGCACCUUUUCAGAAACGCAGCCGCCCUGGAUCUACACAGCCGCAGUGACUCCAUUCCGAGUGCAAAUGUGGAUCGCUGAAGACAGUUACUGGAAGCGCCAUUUGCAGGGCCACACCCACAGCACAUUAAAGUUCCAGG